CUCCAGAGCUGCUUUGUGGUGGGGAUUUAGCUACAGACACAGAGCAGAUGAGCAUGGCCCCUGCACAAGGAUGACAUAAAUUCCUGAAGCUUUGCAUAUCUUU
Molecule: small nuclear RNA, 103 nt
Organism: Pogoniulus pusillus (Red-fronted tinkerbird)
Lineage: Eukaryota; Metazoa; Chordata; Aves; Piciformes; Lybiidae
Source: RefSeq, a predicted model, not a curated record